Molecule: long non-coding RNA, 673 nt
Organism: Syngnathus acus (greater pipefish)
Lineage: Eukaryota; Metazoa; Chordata; Actinopteri; Syngnathiformes; Syngnathidae
Exons: 3
Source: RefSeq, a predicted model, not a curated record
UUCUUUUACAGGCUCCGCUUCAGGCUUGGAUGCAGGUGUUACAGUUACAAGUGAAAAAUGACCGUCAGAGUGCACUUGGCCCGACGGAUUAACUGCAGAGUGAAAAAAAGUGCUGAUGGGCAACAAAAGAAUGGAAACAGCUAUUCAUCACUGUGACACGCAGAUCAAAGCUGUGCGUUUCUCAAAGCGCACUGCUUGAGUUACUGCGUAGCGCCGGCGUGGAGGCAGUCACUGAGAUAAAGAUGCCUCCAACCUUGGAUUGAGUCCAAUGCGGCCGCAUCCUCCGCGUCCAAAGAGCAUCCCCUCUCUCUUAAAUGUGAUGAGAUUGCGGCAUACCACAGUGGAGGAGAGAGGUAAUUAAAGAGUCAUCAAGCCGGCGUGUUAUCAACCAAGUAAAUGACAGAGUGACUGAAGCAAACACAGCGGAGGCAUCUUUGCGAGAUGGACGACACCAAAUCCAUUUGUCCGCCUACCCGCCGCCCACUCGUCGCCGCUUUGUACCUUUCAACGCCGCCGCCAGUCAGACAAUUGUGAGGCUGAAACUUCCAGCGACCAAACAAGCCACUAGUCCAUCGCGGCAACUCGGGAGAAUCUUAGGUACUUCCCUCGAGUCACCUGAUAUCUUUCAGUUCUCCCUCCGUGUUGUGUCGGGAGCGUCGUCUCUCUUCCCACA